Molecule: ribosomal RNA, 448 nt
Filed under: uncultured bacterium
Lineage: Bacteria
Description: bacterial SSU rRNA
Rfam family: Bacterial small subunit ribosomal RNA
Source: RNAcentral
CCCAGACUCCUACGGGAGGCAGCAGUGGGGAAUAUUGCAGAAUGGGGGAAACCCUGAUGCAGCGACGCCGCGUGAGUGAAGAAGUAUUUCGGUAUGUAAAGCUCUAUCAGCAGGGAAGAAAAUGACGGUACCUGACUAAGAAGCCCCGGCUAACUACGUGCCAGCAGCCGCGGUAAUACGUAGGGGGCAAGCGUUAUCCGGGUUUACUGGGUGUAAAGGGAGCGUAGACGGCAUGGCAAGUCAGAUGUGAAAACCCGGGGCUCAACCCCGGGACUGCAUUUGAAACUGUCAGGCUGGAGUGCAGGAGAGGUAAGUGGAAUUCCUAGUGUAGCGGUGAAAUGCGUAGAUAUUAGGAGGAACACCAGUGGCGAAGGCGGCUUACUGGACUGUAACUGACGUUGAGGCUCGAAAGCGUGGGGAGCAAACAGGAUUAGAUACCCCGGUACAG